ACGCUCGACACCUACGGGAGGCAGCAGUGGGGAAUAUUGGGCAAUGGGCGAAAGCCUGACCCAGCAACGCCGCGUGAGGGAAGAAGGUUUUCGGAUUGUAAACCUCUGUCCUCAGGGACGAAGGACGUGACGGUACCUGAGGAGGAAGCCCCGGCUAACUACGUGCCAGAAGCCGCGGUAAUCUGAGCGGGCUGGCAAGGC
RNAcentral lists this ribosomal RNA (201 nucleotides) under uncultured bacterium. RNAcentral describes it as "partial 16S ribosomal RNA". It matches the Rfam family "Bacterial small subunit ribosomal RNA", at positions 328 to 539 of the family's 1533-position model. The record is from RNAcentral.